AUUGUUUAUAUUGAUUUAAAGCUUUAAAAUAUUAGCAUAGACAUUUCAAAAUAAGUAAAGUAUCUUAGUUUAAUGUUCAAAUCAAAAUUUUGUCAUAUUGGCUUUACAGACUAACCACUGCCAUGUGAUUUCAAAAAUGUUGAUCAAAAUGUUGCUUCAUGUCCCUGUGCUUGUCUGUCAGUCUGACUAAUGACAAAUAUGUUUCUGUUAUUCAGUUGAAUCCAUUAUUCAUUUUUUAAGUUGUGCCUUAACUUUGGGCACAUGCCUACUGUAAGGUCUGUUUUGGGUUGUGUUUCUUAUUCAUUGUUUUCAUGUCUUUUUAUUUUGUAGUUUGAUUUAUGCUGUUUGUGUCAUGCUUCCCUUGCACCCAUGUUUCUCUUCCUUGUUUAUGUGUCAUGUUCUCAUUGGUUAUUGUCUUGUCAUGUGAUUAUCAGUUCUGUUUGCUCAUUGGUUUGUUCUUGUCAUGUGACCCUCAUUUUCUGUUAUAAGUAGUCAUGUUAUUGCCUUGUUCUUUGUUGUGUAUUAAUGUUGUAACCUGUUGUCGGUGAGUCUAGUCUGUUCACGUCAAGUCUGUUUAUGCCUCAUCAAGUCUGUUCUAGUCAAGUCAAGUCUAGUCAAGUCUUUGUUUAUUGUUUGGAUUAUGUUUGGAUUUCUGGAUCACUUGUAAAUAAACUGCACUUGGGUUCUCACUAUGCUCGCCUUCAGUGGACUCUUUACAGAAUACAUGACCGCUACCAUGAACCCAGCAGUUUCACACCUCCUCUGCCUUCGUCAAGUUCACUUCUUACUGUGGGAGUUGUGGAUGAGGAGCCCCACAAUUGUGCUGUACCCUCUGCGCCAGACCAUUCUCACAUCCCAACUGUCAUAUCAGGAGUUGUCAACACCAUGCCUGUUACCCCAAGGCCUGUUCACAUCACGUCUGUCAAGCCAAAGCCUGCUCACAUCACGUCUGCCAAGCCACAGCCUUCUCACUUCAUGUCUGCUACGCCAAGGCCUGCUAACAUCAUGCCCGCUACUCCAGGACCUGCUCCCAACCUGCCAGUUAAGUCACAGUUUACUCAUAUCAUGUCUACUAAGUCAAAGCCUGAUCACAUCAUGUCUGCCAAGCCAGAGUCCUCUAACAUCAUGUCUGCUACCCCAGGGUUUGCUCCCGUCAUGCCUACUACGCCAAGUCCUCUUCACAUCACGUCUUCCAAGCCAGAGCCUGCUCACAUCAUGCCGGUCACUCAAGAGAUUCUUCUCAACAUGGCCGCCAUUGAAGAGCUCCGUUGUAAGAUGGCUGCCACACAAGAGUCUCUCUACAAAAUGGCCGCCCUUCUAGACUCUCGUCAUGUCUCAACCGAUCAUCCAGAGUCUCACCAUGUCACAGCUGAUCAUCCAGAGCCUUGUCACGACAUGCCCACCAUUCCAGAGCCUCGUCAUGACAUGGCCACCAUUUCUGAGUCUGCUUGCGUCAUGCCUGCCAAGCCAGAGCCUUCACACAAGAUGACCACCAUGCCUGAGUCCCCGGCCAAGAUGGCCGCCAUGCCUGAGUCUCCGGCCAAGCCUGAGUCUCGCCAUGUUAUGGCUGUCACAGAGACUGUUCCCAUGACCUCAGUGCUUCCAGUAAUGGCAGUCGCCAUUUUGAGCUUGUGGGCUGCACACUGCGCUCCAGAGACCUCUCCUGUCCACGAGUCUACUCCUGAGGCCGCUCCUGGCAGUGAAUUCACUCCAGUGCCCCCAGAGGCGGCAGUGUCCACUGCAGAACCUCCAGAGGAGGCGGCUUCUGCUGCAGAACCUCCCGAGGUGGUGGCACCCACCUUUGAACUCUCUGCCUGUCCUGUCACGGCCAAGGAGGCCGUCCACAAUCUCUCUGCCUGUCCUGUCAUGACCAAGGAGGCCGUCCACGAACUCUCUGCCUGUCCUGUCACGGCCAAGGAGGCCAUCCACAAACUCACUACCUGUCCUGUCACGGCCAUGGAGGCUGCUCAUGAACUCACUGCCUGUCCUGCCAUGGCCAUGGAGGCCGCUCACAAACUCACUGCCUGUCCCGCAACGGCCAUGGAGGUCGCUCAUGAACUCACUAUCUGUCCUGUCACGGCCAAGUAGUCUGUCCAUGUCUCUGCUCUGUGGGCACCGCCUGACCACCCCGCUCUACCUGCACCGCCAUGGCUCCAUACUGCUCUGGAUCUGCUCCACGGCCCAGGUCCCCCUCUGCUCCAUUGUCUGUCAUUGCCUAAUGAUCCUGAUCCACCACUGCUCCUAGCUCCAGGCCCAUCAUUGCUCCACAUUCCAGGUCCUGUUCCUCUUCAUGGGCCUGGCCCUCCAUCCCGCCCCCUGUUCCGCCUCCACUCCACCACCCUUCUGAAUUUCUUGGGUUUUGUUUCUUGUUCAUUGUUUUCAUGUCUUUAUUUUGUAGUUUGAUUUAUGCUGUUUUUGUCAUGCUUCCCUUGCCCUGAUGUAUCUCUGCCUUGUGUAUGUGUCAUGUUCUCUUUGGUUAUUGUCUUGUCAUAUGAUUAUCAGUUCUGUUUGCUCAUUGGUUUGUUCAUGUCAUGUGACCCUCAUUGUCUGUUAUAAGUAGUCAUGUUAUUGCCUUGUUCUGUCAUGUAUUAAUGUUGUAACCUGCUGUCGGUGAGUCUAGUCUGUUCAUGUCACAUCAAGUCUUUUAACGUCAAGUCUGUUUAUGCCUCCUCAAGUUCUAGUCAAGUUUUGUUUAUUGUUUGGAUUAUGUUUGGAUUUCUGGAUCACUUGUAAAUAAACUGCACUUGGGUUCUCACUAUGCUCGCCGUCAGUGGACUCUUUACACCUACACACAUUUGCAAUAACUCUUAGCUGUUCAGCUACAAGUAAUUACAGUUCCCAAGUUAUUUAAUUGUUUAAAGUAUGCAGUACUACUGCCCGCUAUAUGCAGAGUAUGCAGUCUAUGUAGGGCACAAACUACCAAGGAGGAACCAUUUCAUGCCCUGGGGGCAUCAAACAGAAGAGAUUUUACAAGAGAAGAUCCAUGCCAACCAGUGCACCCUUGACUAUUGGCUACCCUG
This is a long non-coding RNA of Cyprinus carpio carpio, 3020 nucleotides long. The record is from Ensembl. NCBI's taxonomy places the organism in Eukaryota, Metazoa, Chordata, Actinopteri, Cypriniformes, Cyprinidae.